ACAUCACCAGGAGCAUGUCACAGUUGUCCCAAGACCUACCUCAGCCCCACUGAACCAAGAUUCUCCAACAUUGGACUUGGCAAGAUGUGUCUUAACAACUUCUCCAAGGAGAUCAAGUUAGAGGACCCCUGCAUCAUUAUAGUGAACUGAGCCAAGAUGGCCAGACCAUUGUACUUCACCCGAAAGGUAUAGGAGCUCCAGCAGAGUAUCUUGAGGACAGCUGGGAUUCUCACAUGACUCCCAAGGCUCCUGAGAGCUGACUGGACAAGAAGAGAACUCACAUUUGGCUGACCCUGGAAGAAAGGUACUCUAGUCUAGGCUGGAUUUGGUAAGACCUGGACUACCUAAACCCUAGGGUGAGAAUGACCUCCUUCCAAGGACCCAUUAGGAGGAGGCCAG
Rattus rattus (black rat) is the source of this 399-nucleotide long non-coding RNA. RefSeq lists it as uncharacterized. The transcript has 3 exons. NCBI's taxonomy places the organism in Eukaryota, Metazoa, Chordata, Mammalia, Rodentia, Muridae. The record is from RefSeq and is a predicted model, not a curated record.